UCUCUCCAGCCCCCAUAAUAAG
This 22-nucleotide microRNA is filed under the name Mus musculus (house mouse). RNAcentral describes it as "mmu-miR-3473c". Lineage: Eukaryota; Metazoa; Chordata; Mammalia; Rodentia; Muridae. The record is from miRBase by way of RNAcentral.